UAUCACGAAUCAAGCCUGGCUUGCUGUUGGGCCUCUUGUCGUUAAACCGACAGGUCCUAAAGAUAAUGACGGUGUUAUUUUGACCCUAGAUGCAACGAGCUUUCACGAGCACGCGUCUAGUUGGACUCUUUAACCCGGUCUUUUUUAACCAAUUUUAAAAGGUUGACCUCGGAUCAGGUAGGAAUACCCGCUGAACUUAA
RNAcentral lists this unclassified non-coding RNA (200 nucleotides) under soil metagenome. RNAcentral describes it as "partial contains internal transcribed spacer 2 and large subunit ribosomal RNA". The record is from RNAcentral.